AUCAUUUUAAAAAAUUACAGGAAGUUAAAACUACACAGUCAUAUCAAAUAUGAAUAUUUAGAAAAAAUCAUAAAAUUUUGUUGCUGUAAAAAAUUUUGCUCUUGAGUAUUAUAACUUUGGACAAAAGGGUCAAAAUGACACCACUAAUGGUACUUCUAGUGUUAAUGCAGUGGCAUACCAAUGGGAAUUCUAGGAGUGUUAUAUCCUAUUCAGAAUAUGUCUGUAAAAUUAAGUUAGCUGAGAAUGAAUUGUAUAAUACAAGGUGUGGCUUUAAUCCAAGACUGACAUCACAGCAUGAAACCGAUCACUCGCCCGAGAGAGGUGCUGUUGGUAUCUGGAAAGUAGUGCAUCUGCACAUGCUCCCCGCAGCGCGCGUCAGUCGUAGACAUUAGCUUGGCUGGGAAAGACGCGUGGAAACGUAUCUGGUGAAGUGUUGUUGUCGAAGUGGG
Molecule: long non-coding RNA, 449 nt
Filed under: Androctonus crassicauda
Lineage: Eukaryota; Metazoa; Arthropoda; Arachnida; Scorpiones; Buthidae
Source: RNAcentral